This 585-nucleotide ribosomal RNA is filed under the name uncultured bacterium. RNAcentral describes it as "partial 16S ribosomal RNA". It matches the Rfam family "Bacterial small subunit ribosomal RNA", at positions 355 to 1375 of the family's 1533-position model. The record is from RNAcentral.
UGGGGAAUUUUGGACAAUGGGCGAAAGCCUGAUCCAGCAAUGCCGCGUGUGUGAAGAAGGCCUUCGGGUUGUAAAGCACUUUUGUCCGGAAAGAAAUCCUUGGCUCUAAUACAGUCGGGGGAUGACGGUACCGGAAGAAUAAGCACCGGCUAACUACGUGCCAGCAGCCGCGGUAAUACGUAGGGUGCAAGCGUUAAUCGGAAUUACUGGGCGUAAAGCGUGCGCAGGCGGUUUGCUAAGACCGAUGUGAAAUCCCCGGGCUCAACCUGGGAACUGCAUUGGUGACUGGCAGGCUAGAGUAUGGCAGAGGGGGGUAGAAUUCCACGUGUAGCAGUGAAAUGCGUAGAGAUGUGGAGGAAUACCGAUGGCGAAGGCAGCCCCCUGGGCCAAUACUGACGCUCAUGCACGAAAGCGUGGGGAGCAAACAGGAUUAGAUACCCUGGUAGUCCCACGCCCUAAACGAUGUCACUAGUUGUUGGGGAUUCAUUUCCUUAGUAACGUAGCUAACGCGUGAAGUUGACCGCCUGGGGAGUACGGUCGCAAGAUUAAAACUCAAAUGAAUUGACGGGGUCAUAGCUGUUUCCU